GGCCUCACUAGACACAGAGCUGGACGUAGCCUUGACAGUGACGCAGCCCCCUCUUUCAGACGUGCAUGCCGAAAUCCGGAAGCUGAACCACCCGCCCAGUCUUUCAAGGGGAGGGGCAGCAUCCAGCCCCAGGUGGACGGCUCGGUGCAGUUCCCCAGCCACGUGAAGACUGCCUCGGAGAAUCCUUCUGUUAAUCUGAUCAAAAAAGCCAAGCUUUCGUCUUCAGGUACCCGGACCAACUGCUCGUGCGGCGGGACAGAGUGGGGCAGCCCCAGCCUGGGAGCCUCCUCCUCGGUUCUGAGGGUCACUUGCUGGGGGCCCUCGGGGUGAACUUGGGACACCAGAACUGGCCUCACAUGCUCACCCCUGCAGGCAGUGGUAGGAUUCGACCCCGGAACUGGUUGCAUCCACCCCUGAGGCUUUCAGGCUCGAACCCCUUGCCCGCGGAAACGGGAGGUUUGUUCUGAAAUCAAAGCUUCCCAAGAGGCAGUCCCCAAGGGCAUCCCAGUGGCAGCUGCCACCUUGGUUCCUGGGCUCAGAGCCCCUUGGUCCAGAUCCCAGUGACGCCCUAGCUGAGUUCAGGUGGCCUUGCCCUCCUGCCCCCAGCCCUGCCCCCCCCCCCACGACGGGCAGAGAAGGUGACACCACUGCCUCUGCGCAGUCACUGCUGCCGAGGAACAAAUCCAGCCAGUGACAGCCGCAACUCUCGUGAGAACCUUGGACACGUACAGUGUGAUUCAAAGUUGAAAUAAGGUUUCACACACAAAUGCGUACUUUAUGGCCAUUUUACAGGUGAGAAAAGUGGAGUCCAGAGAGCACGGCGUCCCUUAGCAAGAGCUGGAGCCACGUGUACCAGAGGCCUCCACCUGGCGGCCCAGGCCGUCAAGCUCUGCCACAAACAUCUCAGGCCUUCAGUCCCACGCCUGCUCCAGGCGACCUUCAGCUUAAGACGUGUCAUGUUCUCCCUGUCUCUCCAGGACAGAAGGUACUUUCUCGCUUUGGUCAGCAUCACUCUCCCUCUCUGUAGACACAAAGGUUUUCCAGGUUCCCAUCAAAAGCCACUGUUUGUCUGUUCAGACUCCCUGGGUCCCUCCGGUCCUCGGCAAGAGGUCGUCACCCUCCGGGGACUCGGCCACCCUCCAGCCAAUCGUCACAGGCCGCAUGGGCCAGAAGGGUGGAUGGUGUUUACGUAUUAUCCGACACUGCUGGUGGACACUGCCUGGGUUUCUUGCUUCUGCUGCUGCUGCAGCUGUUUUGGUUUUUUUUUUUUUUUUUUU
This 1277-nucleotide long non-coding RNA is filed under the name Sus scrofa (pig). RNAcentral's name for it is "lncRNA (ENSSSCG00005023814.1)". The record is from RNAcentral. Lineage: Eukaryota; Metazoa; Chordata; Mammalia; Artiodactyla; Suidae.